This 176-nucleotide ribosomal RNA is filed under the name Psilochilus modestus. RNAcentral describes it as "partial 5.8S ribosomal RNA". The stretch from base 1 to 155 matches the Rfam family "5.8S ribosomal RNA". From Rfam's summary of the family: 5.8S ribosomal RNA (5.8S rRNA) is a component of the large subunit of the eukaryotic ribosome. It is transcribed by RNA polymerase I as part of the 45S precursor that also contains 18S and 28S rRNA. Lineage: Eukaryota; Viridiplantae; Streptophyta; Magnoliopsida; Asparagales; Orchidaceae. The record is from RNAcentral.
GACUCUCGGCAACGGAUAUCUUGGAUCUCGCAACGAUGAAGAGCGCAGCAAAAUGCGAUACGUGGUGCGAAUUGCAGAAUCCCGUGAACCAUCGAGUACUUGAACGCAAGUUGCGCCCGAGGCCACCUGUCGAGGGCACGCCCGCCUGGGCGUGAUGCGCUGCCUCGCUCCGCGCC